Molecule: ribosomal RNA, 1293 nt
Filed under: Salmonella enterica
Lineage: Bacteria; Pseudomonadati; Pseudomonadota; Gammaproteobacteria; Enterobacterales; Enterobacteriaceae
Also listed under: 1 other name
Description: partial 23S ribosomal RNA
Rfam family: Bacterial large subunit ribosomal RNA
Source: RNAcentral
GGUUAAGCGACUAAGCGUACACGGUGGAUGCCCUGGCAGUCAGAGGCGAUGAAGGGCGUGCUAAUCUGCGAUAAGCGCCGGUAAGGUGAUAUGAACCGUUAUAACCGGCGAUACCCGAAUGGGGAAACCCAGUGUGAUUCGUCACACUAUCAUUAACUGAAUCCAUAGGUUAAUGAGGCGAACCGGGGGAACUGAAACAUCUAAGUACCCCGAGGAAAAGAAAUCAACCGAGAUUCCCCCAGUAGCGGCGAGCGAACGGGGAGGAGCCCAGAGCCUGAAUCAGCAUGUGUGUUAGUGGAAGCGUCUGGAAAGGCGCGCGAUACAGGGUGACAGCCCCGUACACAAAAGCGCAUGUGCUGUGAGCUCGAUGAGUAGGGCGGGACACGUGGUAUCCUGUCUGAAUAUGGGGGGACCAUCCUCCAAGGCUAAAUACUCCUGACUGACCGAUAGUGAACCAGUACCGUGAGGGAAAGGCGAAAAGAACCCCGGCGAGGGGAGUGAAAAAGAACCUGAAACCGUGUACGUACAAGCAGUGGGAGCACAGGUUUACCUGUGUGACUGCGUACCUUUUGUAUAAUGGGUCAGCGACUUAUAUUCUGUAGCAAGGUUAACCGUAUAGGGGAGCCGGAGGGAAACCGAGUCUUAACCGGGCGUUAAGUUGCAGGGUAUAGACCCGAAACCCGGUGAUCUAGCCAUGGGCAGGUUGAAGGUUGGGUAACACUAACUGGAGGACCGAACCGACUAAUGUUGAAAAAUUAGCGGAUGACCUGUGGCUGGGGGUGAAAGGCCAAUCAAACCGGGAGAUAGCUGGUUCUCCCCGAAAGCUAUUUAGGUAGCGCCUCGUGAAUUCAUCUCCGGGGGUAGAGCACUGUUUCGGCUAGGGGGCCAUCCCGGCUUACCAACCCGAUGCAAACUGCGAAUACCGGAGAAUGUUAUCACGGGAGACACACGGCGGGUGCUAACGUCCGUCGUGAAGAGGGAAACAACCCAGACCGCCAGCUAAGGUCCCAAAGUCAUGGUUAAGUGGGAAACGAUGUGGGAAGGCCCAGACAGCCAGGAUGUUGGCUUAGAAGCAGCCAUCAUUUAAAGAAAGCGUAAUAGCUCACUGGUCGAGUCGGCCUGCGCGGAAGAUGUAACGGGGCUAAACCAUGCACCGAAGCUGCGGCAGCGAACGUAUCACUUAAAGCGAUUCAGCGGGUUACGAUUGACGGAGCGAAGCGACGUCAAAGCGUAUACAAAGUCGAGUCGGUUUAAGGAUACGUUCGUUGGGUAGGGGAGCGUUCUGUAAGCCUG